Molecule: non-coding RNA, 5329 nt
Organism: Sus scrofa (pig)
Lineage: Eukaryota; Metazoa; Chordata; Mammalia; Artiodactyla; Suidae
Source: RefSeq, a predicted model, not a curated record
UCGGCGCAAGACCGAGGCCAUGAUGGUAUGGAAGGAUUCCAUGCUUAGAUUUAUUUUUUUCUUGAAAAAAAAUCCUACCUGAAGAACUGGCGGGAGAAGUCACAUUAGUACCAGAGGUAAAAUAUAAGGACUAAAUACAAUUUCAAAUUUUCACAAAAAUAUCAUUUAUAUGUUCAGUCGUCAUGAAUCUUUCCCUUAUUGGAGUAUUCUUUUGGCGUGACCACGGGAUGUGGGAGUCCCUGGGCCAGGGAUUGAACCACGCCACAGCCGUGACCUGAGCCACAGCCAUUACAAUGCCAAGUCUUUAAUCUCCAGGCCACCAGGGAACUCCUAAACACUGUAAAAUGAAACCUUAAGUGUAACUCUACUCCCCAAACAUGACGGCCCUUGCGAUCCUCCAGAGGGUGGCAGCUGCUGACACAUUGUGUGGCCGCGGGGCUGGGCGUGAUGGGGGCAUGUGCGCAGGUGUGGAGCACAGAGAAAUCGAAAUGUAAGCGUUGGUGAAGCAUUUUAUUCCGGCUGAAGGGGAAGUGAUUCAGAGCCUUGCGUGGAAUCUGCAGUCACGAUUUAUAAAGGGAGAUUAAAAAAGCAAGAAGCAGUGAAGCCAGGGUUUAUGGAUUCGUAGAUGAGGGGAUAAACUGGAAUAUAAAAUGAGAAACAUUGCAGUCCAAAGUCACAGGCCUGGAUUGGAGUCUUGACUCCAUCAAUAACUCGCUGGUCAGAUAUUUACCCUCUUCCAGCCCCAGUGUCCUUAUUUAAAAAAUGGGUGCAUCCCCCCCGUCUGCCCUGUAACCUCCCUGGACUGGGAUCAAAGGAUGAACGAUAAGAAAGAAAUACUGUUUCAGAGACUGUACACCAGCUUUUAUUUUUUAUUGUAUCAUUUGCAAUAGCAGCUGCGGCGGUUUGGGGGGUCUAUUCGCGUGGGAGUCGGGGGGCCGGAGGCGUGAUGAUUUCGUCUCCACCUAAAGACCUCAGCAUCCCCACAUCAGGUGUUUCCUAAGGAGGUUCACUUGGUGGAGGAGGCGAGCGGAGAACGGUCAACACAGCGGUGAGCAGGUGUCCCUGGGCACUCACCUGAUUGGGGGGCGGGGGCGGGCAGCCCUAUCACGUGUCCCCGGGGCCACGUGAUACGUCGGGGGCGGAGACACUGCACGCGCUGGAGGCCAUGUUCCAGCAGGGAAGCUGCCCUCUGGUCUCCCCUCCGAGGGGACCCCGCUAGUACCGCACGUCGGGAAGGCCAAGGCCAUCCCGGGGCCCACAGGCUGGCCUCAGAGGCGGCGGUCGCGGGAGGAACCUGAGAAAACCAGCUGUCCCAGCCCCUCCUGCCCAGCGGGGGCUCCCCGUCCCGCUGACGGCUGAUGGCGGAGCGUCCUGCGUGGCGCCCCACGGGUGCCCCGGCCGCUGGGGCUCCGGGACUCAGGGCUAAGGAGGAGGGCCGCUGCAGGAGCCGCUGCAGGAGCCGCUGCAAGGGCCCGAAGCCCGCACUCCGAGGCUUACACACUGGUAAACGCUACUUAGCGGCCGCGUGGAGGGCUGUCCGCAAGGUGUUUGUUCCUGCCCCCAGUUCACCGAGCUGCCAACUGGCCUGCAGGCUGGAAGGUGCUUGGGCAACACGCUGGUGACGAUACCCAGGAGCGAUGACCGUCGCAGCUGCGUCCCGGAAGCAGAGUCAGAGAAAAGUUGCUGAACCGCCAGCUGGACCCCUACCUCGAGGCAGCUCGUCCGCCUGUGAGGCAGGAUUUCCGAGGAGCCCACUAGGUGGUGCGUGAGCUGCGGCGAUGGUGACCAGCUGUGCUGGACCAGUCACCGCCCGCCUCCCAGGACCCCCCUCAGGCCAGAGGCCCCCAGCUCACAAGCCGGCCCUGAAUCAUCCCUGUUCCUGGGCCCGUCUCCACGUUCUUCCUCUGGGAAAGCAGGGCCCAGGCUUCUGCUCCCUCUUCAAUACAGCACACAUGAACACUUUGGGAGUGUCGCCUUAAAAAUAAAAAACACAACGUGAGAGUUGAGAGUUAAGUUUUACUUGGGACAGAAUGAGGACUAGAACCUGGGUGGCAGCAUUCAGAGAGACCCGAGAAACUACUCCAAAAAACUGGGACCUCAGUGAGUCCGGACACCAGGCCAAGUGUGGAAAAGAAAGGAAGAAGCAAGAGAGGAGGCAUCCGUUGAUGAACUUCAGAUGCCAAGAUAAAGGAGACUUGCUUUUCGACGAGAUGACACUGGCCCUGCUGGUCGGGCUUCCGGGGAGAGGAGGUCUGAACUGCUUGGCUGCUGUCUACUGACUGAUAAUGGGAUGAAAACAACACACAUCAAACAGUGAGCGGGGCUGUUAACAAGGUAGCCCUUCCUGGGAUCCUGGCGCCUUCAUCCAGUCAGGCCGGUGCCUUGAGCACCCACCCAAAAGUGGCGAGGGGAGUUCCUUGGGACCCUUCAAGUCCUAGCGUGUGGGGGAGAGCCCCCGGCUCCGGGAACGGCAAGCGGCAGGUGACAAAGAAGGCCUGGAGGGGGUAGGAGCAGGAAGAAUUCUCUUCCACCUGUUGGGCGAAAUCUCUGGCAGGCGUUUUCCCCAGAGAGUCGGCUUUGUGGUGAAACCACUCUGGGUGUAUUUUGCAGUGUUGGCCCUUUUCCCUGUCAGAUUCAAGGGCAUCGUUCUCAGAUCUUCUGAGGACCUGGUGAUGCUCCUGGAGGCGGCCGGACCUUCUUCCAAAGUGUACAGCCCAGAGGAAUUUCUUAGAUGCACACCAGUGGUGCUCAGCUGCCAACAUCCAUCGCAGUGAUCACUGCCGUGUUCUGCCAGAGUCUGUGGCCCCGGAGGCGUCUGCUCCAGGGAAAGAUCGCAGCGGGGACUCUGUCCACAGAGAGCUGGAGGAGGGCUGGUUUCCCUGACACGUCGGUUCUCCACUGGACCCAGUAGAAACCACUGAUCUCCAGCAUGUCCAGCUGCGGCUGGUCGUAAAGGAGAAACGUGACGACAUCCACGCUCUCUCCAGGUUGGAGCUGAGUCUGGGAGGCUUUCGGGCUAACUUUUCAUUGUGUUUGCUCGAGUUCAUGGAUGGAAGAGACAGCAGCUGCAGGAUCUGGGCUGCUGACUGCAUAAAAAAGACCCUCUCGGAGGAAGGGCCCUCGGAAAGAAUGGAUGCCUGCAAAUUGCCAGGGUGGUGAGUCCUGGGUCUGCCUGAAGGUAUGUGCAUUAGGCCGCUGAGAAUAAGCUCAUAGUCACGUGUGCAUGGAAAUGACAGGUUAAAGAAGGCAGUGCUAAUCGAGAGAGGUAUGGUACAUGAAAACGCCUUCAAAAAUUAAGGACUCGGCGGACUCCUUAAAUUAGGGAAUAAUGCUGAGUCUUGAGUAAAACCACUAAAGCACAUGUGGGGCUCAAACACCCCACCCAGCGGAUUGUCCUACAAUCACCUCACACACAGAUUGUCCUGCCGUCAACACAGUGGGCGACAGAAGAGGACUUCACUGCCUCGUCUGUCAUCUGAGCCCCAGAAGUUCUGAGGCCCAGCGAGGGGGAGGGGGCUGCUGGCUUGAAGCUGGGCAGCUCCACUGGUCAACUGUGUUGCCUCCUGAACUUCCUGAGCUACUCUGAGCUGUGGUCUUGGAGAUAAUGGUGGGGUGGGGCGGGGCAGGGUGGGGUCAUGAGAGGUCCUGGAAAUUGGGGGUAUGGCCUUUGAACCUGCUUCUCCACUUGGUGUUCAGGAGUCGAAUACUGUGCCUCCCAAACUCUUAAUUCCUGUCUUAAGACCCUUCCUCUGAGAGCUCAGAAGGAUGUGGACAUUGUGCCCUUGCAGUGUGGCUGGGGAGGAGAUGCAAAAAUAGGACUUAGGUAGAGCCGUGGGCUCAUGACCGACAGGACCACAACAAGGAGGCAGCAGCCCAUCUCCGCAGGCAUGCACUACAAACUCCUUCCCCCGGGAGACGUUUUCUGAAACACUCCUGAAAGAGGGCAGUUUAGCCUCAGCUUGAAUAGUUCCUGUUCCAGGGACUGGAGACCCCUUUGCAACAUGGUGCUAAGGUGGGAGCUGUCAGAAGCUCGUGGAGAUUAAAUCUGCCUCAACGGAAGAAAGGAGUGGCUAAGUUUCCUUAGAAGAACCUAGGGCUGGUUGAGGCUGAGGAUCGAGGUUGGUGGUGUGGACUAUUGUGGAAUAAAGUGAUGUCUCGCACUCAUGAUCUCUCACAGCCAUCGCAGAGACGCUCAAGCAGCAGCCAGGGGCUCCGGACCAAGGUGAUAAGGAAUGACCCUGAACUUGGCGAGUGAAGGCUAAAAUAGGAAUGGUGGGCUGGAAAAAGACAAGAAGAGGAUUGUGGGUAUCAGAGUGAAGGCAAAACCGUGCAGCCAAGCUGGCCGGCAGGACAGUCCCGAGCUGGGGACUUGGUAGAAUCUGCCUAAAUCUCUCUGCAGCAGCCCUGAGCCACUGGGGCGUGUCUCCCGCCGAAUUACACAGCCAUGCACUUCGAGCUUCAGGUAAGAAAGAGAAUCCACCCUGUUGAGGCAGGCAUCUGGCAGGUGGAAGAGAGAUUCAUUACUCCCGGAAAUGCAUCCUCUUGUUUCUGUCGACCUGAGGAAAAGGGAAAUGUUUCCUCCUGGAAAUGCAGUCGGGGAGGCCAUUCCAUCACACGUUCAGACCUCUACUUCCCUCCUCAAGAAUUUUUUUCUCCUGUUGGAGAUGUUGCAGAGUCCAUUAACUUGAUCUGGUGCACGUUGUUUUAAGUACUAUUUCUUCCGGCAGUAACUAGAUGGAAAUGCUCCCUUUAAUAUAUUGGAUUUGGGAAACUGUUUUCCCAUCUUCUCCAGCUAAUUGCAUAUAAACAGAAUCCGAAUGUAUGUAGAGUGUAUGUAGAGUGUAUUAUAACAUGUUAAUUAUAGGUAUAAAUAUAAUGUCAAGGGGAUUCAGGGAAAAUAUGCAGUGACUUUCAAAAGGAAAUUCAGAAGCUGUCCGUGGUUGGUUUUUCUGGUGUGUGUGGUGGCUUCUGUGAUGCCCCUUUUCCAAGGCGAGUGACAGCCCGUCCUAGUUGCCUACUGUAGGUAUGUAGUGGAGACGUCCAUAAGGCACUGAGAGCUAAGAUGUAGCUACAGGGUUAGCUCUCUUGGCACACAACCAACGGGAGGAGAGAGCAGGCUGCCUUUCCUUAUUUUUUCAUACACUCUGCAUACAUUCGGAUUCUGUUUAUAUGUCAUUGAGGCACCAUAGAUUUCCUAAGCUAUUUCAAGUGUUGAGCUAUGCUUGUUGUUAUUGGAGCUGUAGCAUCCUAAUAUUCUUUUAUUUUAAAACCGAGAUAUAGUUGACAUACAUUGUUGUGUUAGUUUCAGGUGUACAGCAAAGUGAUUCAG